RNAcentral lists this ribosomal RNA (445 nucleotides) under uncultured bacterium. RNAcentral describes it as "partial 16S ribosomal RNA". It matches the Rfam family "Bacterial small subunit ribosomal RNA", at positions 354 to 796 of the family's 1533-position model. The record is from RNAcentral.
GUGAGGAAUAUUGGUCAAUGGGCGGGAGCCUGAACCAGCCAAGUCGCGUGAAGGAAGAAGGAUCUAUGGUUCGUAAACUUCUUUUGCAGGGGAAUAAAGUGCAGGACGUGUCCUGUUUUGUAUGUACCCUGAGAAUAAGGAUCGGCUAACUCCGUGCCAGCAGCCGCGGUAAUACGGAGGAUCCGAGCGUUAUCCGGCUUUAUUGGGUUUAAAGGGUGCGUAGGUGGUUUGAUAAGUCAGCGGUGAAAGUUUGCAGCUUAACUGUAAAAAUGCCGUUGAAACUGGCGGACUUGAGUGUAAAUGAGGUAGGCGGAAUGCGUGGUGUAGCGGUGAAAUGCAUAGAUAUCACGCAGAACUCCGAUUGCGAAGGCAGCUUACUAAGCUACAACUGACACUGAAGCACGAAAGCGUGGGGAUCAAACAGGAUUAGAAACCCUGGUAGUCC